RNAcentral lists this ribosomal RNA (309 nucleotides) under uncultured bacterium. Its description in RNAcentral is "partial 16S ribosomal RNA". It matches the Rfam family "Bacterial small subunit ribosomal RNA", at positions 504 to 807 of the family's 1533-position model. The record is from RNAcentral.
AGAGACAGCAGCAGCCGCGGGAAUACGUAGGGUGCAAGCGUUAAUCGGAAUUACUGGGCGUAAAGCGUGCGCAGGCGGUUUUGUAAGACAGAGGUGAGAUCCCCGGGCUCAACCUGGGAACUGCCUUUGUGACUGCAAGGCUGGAGUGCGGCAGAGGGGGAUGGAAUUCCGCGUGUAGCAGUGAAACGCGUAGGGAUGUGGAGGAAUACCGAUGGCGAAGGCAGCCCCCUGGGCCAAUACUGACGCUCAUGCACGAAAGCGUGGGGAGCAAACAGGAUUAGAUACCCGAGUAGUCCCUGUCUCUUAUAC